CAGCUGCUCUUAACUAUAUAAACCCUGCAAAACUGAAGUUUGAACUGCUUAAAUAAAAGGAUUGUUUGGUUUAAGACAGAGUGAUAAAUAGGCUACCAGAUUCUUGAAGUCAGCACUUAGUAGAAGAGAACCCCAGUUCUUGCUCUUUGCUGUCAGGAGCAACCUGUUUGUGGUAUUUGCCCAGAGUCCCUCCAGCACCACCCCUCCAAUUGAGAUCAGCUCCUCUCGUCUGACCAAGUUGACCCGCCGAACCACCGACAGGAAGAGUGAGUUCCUGAAAACUCUGAAGGAUGACCGGAAUGGAGACUUCUCAGAGAACAGAGACUGUGACAAGCUGGAAGAUUUGGAGGACAACAGCACACCUGAACCAAAGGAAAAUGGGGAGGAAGGCUGUCAUCAAAAUGGUCUUUCCCUCCCUGUAGUGGAAGAAGGGGAGGUUCUCUCACACUCUCUAGAAGCAGAGCACAGGUUAUUGAAAGCUAUGGGUUGGCAGGAAUAUCCUGAAAACGAUGAGAAUUGCCUUCCCCUCACAGAGGAUGAGCUCAAAGAGUUCCACAUG
RNAcentral lists this small RNA (559 nucleotides) under Pan troglodytes (chimpanzee). Its description in RNAcentral is "processed transcript". Lineage: Eukaryota; Metazoa; Chordata; Mammalia; Primates; Hominidae. The record is from RNAcentral.